GGACCAUCAUGUCGGUCGUGCCUCGGUACGUACUGGUAUUGUUGGUUUCUCCCUUCUGACGAACCAUGAUGUCAUUUAUUUGGUGUUGUGGGGAAUCAGGACUGUUACUUUGAAAAAAUUAGAGUGUUUAAAGCAGGCUCACGCUUGAAUACAUUAGCAUGGAAUAAUGAAAUAGGACCUCGGUUCUAUUUUGUUAGUUUCUAGGAUCGAUAUA
This 214-nucleotide ribosomal RNA is filed under the name Campeiostachys nutans. Its description in RNAcentral is "Elymus nutans partial small subunit ribosomal RNA". The stretch from base 37 to 214 matches the Rfam family "Eukaryotic small subunit ribosomal RNA", at positions 684 to 864 of the family's 1831-position model. Lineage: Eukaryota; Viridiplantae; Streptophyta; Magnoliopsida; Poales; Poaceae. The record is from RNAcentral.